Molecule: ribosomal RNA, 249 nt
Filed under: uncultured Gemella sp.
Lineage: Bacteria; Bacillati; Bacillota; Bacilli; Caryophanales; Gemellaceae
Description: partial 16S ribosomal RNA
Rfam family: Bacterial small subunit ribosomal RNA
Source: RNAcentral
CACGUAAAGAACCUACCUUAUAGACAGGGACAACUAUUGGAAACGAUAGCUAAUACCUGAUAAGAAAGAAACUCGCAUGAGAGAAGUUCGAAAGUCGGAGCAAUCUGACACUAUAAGAUGGCUUUGCGGUGCAUUAGCUAGUUGGUAGGGUAAAAGCCUACCAAGGCGACGAUGCAUAGCCGACCUGAGAGGGUGAUCGGCCACAUUGGGACUGAGACACGGCCCAGACUCCUACGGGAGGCAGCAGCG